Long non-coding RNA from Mytilus californianus (California mussel), 1238 nucleotides. RefSeq lists it as uncharacterized. The transcript has 3 exons. The record is from RefSeq and is a predicted model, not a curated record. NCBI's taxonomy places the organism in Eukaryota, Metazoa, Mollusca, Bivalvia, Mytilida, Mytilidae.
UAUCAUCAACAAAGAAAGUGACAAAUGAAUAAUUUUAUUUCCUUUUUGCAAUUUCUCAUUGAUGUGAUGUAAAUUUUCUGUUAGAAAGUCACACGAUUCUGUAUCUAUAUACUAGUAUGACAGUUUGCCUAAGUUUCACAAGACUGUUUUAUCUUAUUUUUGCAGAAAUUUUUUUUUUCUAGGUGUACAACUGUGCAAGUAUUGAACAUCGCAGCUUGAAAUGCAAUGUGACCUAAAAGACAACAUAAUAAUGGACAGAUGUUCUCUGGUCGUUCGUACUUGUUGGCCACACACAUGGAGAUAUUGAUCCUGCUUUCAGCUAAUAUCAGAAAAAUUAAGAACAAAGGAUGCUGAAACUGUGCAGUCACUGUUCAGGAUUAUUCCAGAUGUUUCAAAAGUGAAAUUAUAAUACAAUAUAUGUUACUGGUUAAUUCCUAUGAUUAGUAAUUUUAAACAACACACAGAGACUUUGCAUUAUUGUUUUACAAGAGAGACACCAAAAGAUGCAAUCAACAUUUAUCAUUUUUAUCAAAAUACACCCAGGACAAACCAUGGAUACACUUAGCUUGAAAUAUUGUGCUUUCUUACCAGAAUUGCCUGGAUGUAAAAGAAAUGAAGAACCUAAAUUCAUGACAACAAUCAGGAGAUACGCAGAAGAACUAGUAUAAAUGGUUAAAGAUGAAAGAAUGCAGAAUAGGGCAGGAUUGAAAGGAAGAAAGAACUAGUCAUCAGUAAAGAAACAGAUCAAUUUAUAUAACAUGUAAUAAUUCCAUCUGAAUAUAACAAACAUUGCACAUGUUAUGAAGAUUUGUUCACAUGUCUACUCUGAUUUGUACCCGUAGUUAUGUAUUUGUAAUAUUAUAUAGUACAUGUAUUUUAUUUUAGAACAGUAUUUUUUUUUUCCUGUGGAGAACAUCAAAGAAAUUUAGAAAAAUAUAAUUAAAGAUAGUUUCUUCCAUUUUUUCUGUGACAAAAAAAAAAUUGUGCAAAUUAGGAAAAUGAAAUGAGGCUAUAUUAUUAAAUAUUUUUGAGUUUUAGUUUUUUUUUACGUCCUAUUUUAAAAUUUCAUUGGCAUUUGAAGUAAUGAGUUGAAACCAGUUUUUAUCAAUCAUUUGUUUUUUCAAGAUGUACAAACAGUACAGUAGGUUAAGUCUUUGGUGUACAUUAGUUUACUAUGAUGUUAAGGUCAAAUAAACUUGAAACUUUGUACUUACAAGUGUUCAUUAUGAAGUCAUUUU